RNAcentral lists this ribosomal RNA (501 nucleotides) under uncultured bacterium. RNAcentral describes it as "partial 16S ribosomal RNA". It matches the Rfam family "Bacterial small subunit ribosomal RNA", at positions 30 to 523 of the family's 1533-position model. The record is from RNAcentral.
AUUGAACGCUGGCGGCAGGCUUAACACAUGCAAGUCGAGCGGGGGAAGGUAGCUUGCUACCGGACCUAGCGGCGGACGGGUGAGUAAUGCUUAGGAAUCUGCCUAUUAGUGGGGGACAACAUCUCGAAAGGGAUGCUAAUACCGCAUACGUCCUACGGGAGAAAGCAGGGGAUCUUCGGACCUUGCGCUAAUAGAUGAGCCUAAGUCAGAUUAGCUAGUUGGUGGGGUAAAGGCCUACCAAGGCGACGAUCUGUAGCGGGUCUGGGAGGAUGGUCCGCCACACUGGGAAUGAGGCACGGCCCAGACUCCUACGGGAGGCAGCAGUGGGGAAUAUUGGACAAUGGGGGGGACCCUGAUCCAGCCAUGCCGCGUGUGUGAAGAAGGCCUUAUGGUUGUAAAGCACUUUAAGCGAGGAGGAGGCUACUGAGACUAAUACUCUUGGAUAGUGGACGUUACUCGCAGAAUAAGCACCGGCUAACUCUGUGCCAGCCGCCGCGGUAA